This 827-nucleotide non-coding RNA is filed under the name Heterotermes tenuis. The record is from RNAcentral. Lineage: Eukaryota; Metazoa; Arthropoda; Insecta; Blattodea; Rhinotermitidae.
GAGGAGUUUUAUUCUUGCUCGUUUGUUCAUUGUUUGUUUGUUCUAUAUGUAAGUUUCUGCGUGUUUGUUGUCUCCUAGCUCUAGAUGGGCUAAGGUGGGUGUUGUGGGGUUUAAGUUAUUCUCAUUAGUUGUUAUUAUUUAUCAAGUAUUCUUGUAGUUAGUAAUACAUUUUAGUUUCGGUUAAAUUUUGUGCCAGCAGCCGCGGUUAUACCUUGGAUGCAGUUGAACGUGUUUGGCUUAUGGUAGUUUUAUGAUUUGAGUUGUUGUGGUUUUAUAUUGGUGGGUGGUUGGGUGAAAUUUUUACUUUUGUUGUUUUCCUUAAUUUUAUGUUUGGAGGCUAUGAAAUUCUUUUUUUAAACUAGGAUUAGAUACCCUAUUAUUUUAGGAUGUUAAUUUUUGUGCUUGAGUAGUAUUAGUUAUGUUCUUGAAACUUAAAGAAUUUGGCGGUAUCUUAUUCCGUUCAGAGGAAUCUGUCUCGUUAUCGAUAGUCCGCGUUGGACCUUACUUAGUUGCUAUGGUUUGUAUACCGCCGUUUGUUUGAAUAUGCUUUUAGGGUUCAUUAAUUUUCUAGUUCCUUUAUUUUGAUUUAUUUCAGGUCAAGGUGCAGCUUGUUUCUAAGUGUUAUUGAUGGAUUACAUUGGUUUUUGUUUGUUUGGAUUGUUGAAUUGGUAUAUUUGCAUGAAAUUGGAUUUGAUUGUAAUGUUUUGUAGAUUGUUUUCGUGAUAUUUGGUUCUAAGAUAUGCACACAUCGCCCGUCGCUCUCGUUUGUUGUCAAUGAGAUAAGUCGUAACAAAGUGGUUGUACCGGAAGGUGCGGCUGGAGUGAUU